This 492-nucleotide ribosomal RNA is filed under the name uncultured bacterium. RNAcentral's name for it is "partial 16S ribosomal RNA". It matches the Rfam family "Bacterial small subunit ribosomal RNA", at positions 29 to 507 of the family's 1533-position model. The record is from RNAcentral.
AGUGAACGCUGGCGGUAGGCCUAACACAUGCAAGUCGAACGGGAGCACAGUAAGAGCUUGCUCUUACGGGUGGCGAGUGGCGGACGGGUGAGGAAUACAUCGGAAUCUACUUUUUCGUGGGGGAUAACGUAGGGAAACUUACGCUAAUACCGCAUACGACCUACGGGUGAAAGCAGGGGAUCUUCGGACCUUGCGCGAUUGAAUGAGCCGAUGUCGGAUUAGCUAGUUGGCGGGGUAAAGGCCCACCAAGGCGACGAUCCGUAGCUGGUCUGAGAGGAUGAUCAGCCACACUGGAACUGAGACACGGUCCAGACUCCUACGGGAGGCAGCAGUGGGGAAUAUUGGACAAUGGCCGCAAGCCUGAUCCAGCCAUACCGCGUGGGUGAAGAAGGCCUUCGGGUUGUAAAGCCCUUUUGUUGGGAAAGAAAAGCAGCAGGUUAAUACCCCGCUGUUCUGACGGUACCCAAAGAAUAAGCACCGGCUAACUUCGUG